UACGGAGGGGGUUAGCGUUGUUCGGAAUUACUGGGCGUAAAGCGCACGUAGGCGGAUUAGAAAGUUGGGGGUGAAAUCCCGGGGCUCAACCUCGGAACUGCCUCCAAAACUGCUAGUCUAGAGUUCGAGAGAGGAGAGUGGAAUUCCCAGUGUAGCGGUGAAAUGCGCAGAUAUUGGGAGGAACACCAGUAGCGAAGGCGGCUCUCUGGGCCGAUACCGACGCUGAGGAGCGAAAGCUAGGGGAGCGAACAGG
Molecule: ribosomal RNA, 253 nt
Filed under: uncultured bacterium
Lineage: Bacteria
Description: partial 16S ribosomal RNA
Rfam family: Bacterial small subunit ribosomal RNA
Source: RNAcentral